GUCUCUUUGGGGACAUUCGAUAAAAUUAGAACGAUACAAAGAAGAUUAGCAUGGCCCUACGUAAGAAUAACACGUGAAAAUCAAGAAAUGGUCUACAUUAAU
This 102-nucleotide small nuclear RNA is filed under the name Helianthus annuus (common sunflower). Lineage: Eukaryota; Viridiplantae; Streptophyta; Magnoliopsida; Asterales; Asteraceae. The record is from RNAcentral.